UACGGGGGGGGCAAGCGUUGUUCGGAAUUACUGGGCGUAAAGGGCGCGUAGGCGGCCUACUAAGUCGGACGUGAAAUCCCUCGGCUCAACCGGGGAACUGCGUCCGAUACUGGUGGGCUCGAAUCCGGGAGAGGGAUGUGGAAUUCCAGGUGUAGCGGUGAAAUGCGUAGAUAUCUGGAGGAACACCGGUGGCGAAGGCGGCAUCCUGGACCGGUAUUGACGCUGAUGCGCGAAAGCCAGGGGAGCAAACGGG
This 253-nucleotide ribosomal RNA is filed under the name uncultured bacterium. Its description in RNAcentral is "partial 16S ribosomal RNA". It matches the Rfam family "Bacterial small subunit ribosomal RNA", at positions 524 to 776 of the family's 1533-position model. The record is from RNAcentral.